RNAcentral lists this transfer-messenger RNA (325 nucleotides) under Sulfurisoma sediminicola. RNAcentral's name for it is "Betaproteobacteria transfer-messenger RNA". It matches the Rfam family "Betaproteobacteria transfer-messenger RNA". Rfam says of the family: Bacterial tmRNA, also known as 10Sa RNA or SsrA, is named for its dual tRNA and mRNA-like properties. Its role is to liberate the mRNA from a stalled ribosome. Lineage: Bacteria; Pseudomonadati; Pseudomonadota; Betaproteobacteria; Nitrosomonadales; Sterolibacteriaceae. The record is from Rfam by way of RNAcentral.
CGUCACAUUGGCCUUGAAACAAGGCGCCUUCGGCCCCAUAAUUGCCGUACGGUUGUAAUUCCGGCAAUCUGGAGGCGUUCUGGACGCGGGUUCGAUUCCCGCCACCUCCACCUAAGGGUUUCGCAGAGUUCUUAGGUGGGGGUGCACUGGUUUCGACAGGGCGGACAAAGGUGCGCAGGCAACCCGUCAGGCGAUCGACGUUAAUGAAGCAAAUUCUCAAACGCCAACGAUGAGCGUUUUGCACUGGCCGCUUAAGGCCUAUGCCGAGGCUGCUUGAGCCUUGUUACCAAAGAAAAGCCGGUGGGGACUUCGGUCCCCAUCGUCA